RNAcentral lists this long non-coding RNA (1024 nucleotides) under Nicotiana benthamiana. RNAcentral's name for it is "long non-coding RNA (NBEN_LNC024881)". Lineage: Eukaryota; Viridiplantae; Streptophyta; Magnoliopsida; Solanales; Solanaceae. The record is from RNAcentral.
AAGACAACAGUGGGAGCAUUUUAUAGGUGAACGAGGGACAUAUUUAUACCAAAUUGAAUAGACUGAGGGCAGUUUUGGCCCUUUUCCGUUCUUUUUAUAACAUGUUAUUUUCAUCAAUAAACACUUGUUAAUAGAUUGACUUUGUUUGAAGAAUACACCAUCUACUGGAUAAAUUCUUAAGUCUCUCUCUUACCUUCUUUUUGACUUCAUACUAAACGAACAUCCACAAGAAAAGCAUCCAAUGUCUGUAUUUCCUAUUUGUUCUCUCUUAAUAAAAUGGAGAUGGGGUCUGAUCAACCACAAAAACUAGCUCAUAAGGUGAGGAUUGCCCAAGACCAUAUAUGGAGGCAAUAGUCCAUUCCUCCAACUAAUGUGGUUCAACACUUUUCUGCACUCUCAGAUAUCUCGUGUGGACGACAUAAUGUGGCUGAAUAUUCGGUAAACCAAGUAUUAGGAUGAGUCUGGUUGUGAUACCAUGUUAAGAAAAAAUUGUGUCUAACUCAACCAAAAGUUAGCACAUAAGGUGAGCAUUGCCAAGAUCAUGGAAAGAGACAACAACCCAUUCCCUCAAGCAAUAUGAAACACUUAACAUUUGUUCCUCAUAUUAGAGACAACAACCCAUUCCCUCAAGCAAUAUGAAACACUUUAACAUUUGUUCCUCAUAUACUUGUUUCGUACUGUUUGAUUGAUGAAUAUACUAGAAAGAGGAAAACCAUGAACAUUUCUGCAUGAUGGAAUAAGAGCAACCAAUAAACACUUAACGUCCUUUAUACUCAUUGCUAACUCAUCCCUUGUUCUAGUUGUUCACUUCUUUUUCUCUGUCCUUUCCAUUUCUUAAUGACCUUAUUGUUGCUCUCAUCUAUUGCUUUGAGAGCUUCCAUGUUGCACUUUAGUUGCCAAUCUUUGGAUUUUAUUUCUUUGAUCAGAAAGUUGAACUAUGAAAAUGUGUUAACAAAUAAGGAAAUUGCUUUUUUUAUAUUUCUUUGAUCAGAAAGUUGAACUAUGAAAAUGUGUAAAGUUAAAG